Long non-coding RNA from Armigeres subalbatus, 263 nucleotides. RefSeq lists it as uncharacterized. The transcript has 3 exons. The record is from RefSeq and is a predicted model, not a curated record. Lineage: Eukaryota; Metazoa; Arthropoda; Insecta; Diptera; Culicidae.
AAAAAGUAAACGGCCAUCUACUGGAUGUUGGUUAAAAAACUUUUGCCACCCGAUUGUAGCAAAUGUUUUUAUCACCCAUGGUCCCGGAUCCGGCAAAAAUACGGCGCACUUAUAUAAAGAUGAAGGAAAUUCAUGGCGUAAUGUCCUCAGAAGACUAUGUUGCACACCCUUCUGGCCAGAGGCUUUGUUCUCGGGUUGACGUUUAAAAGUGGCCACCGUGUUUCGGGAGAUAAAUGAAGAAAAAAGCUCAAAAUAAAAAGUGA